UGCGGUAGUUCAGUUGGUUAGAAUACCGGCCUGUCACGCCGUAGGUCGCGAGUUCGAGUCUCGUCCGC
RNAcentral lists this transfer RNA (68 nucleotides) under bovine gut metagenome. It matches the Rfam family "tRNA". From Rfam's summary of the family: Transfer RNA (tRNA) molecules are approximately 80 nucleotides in length. Their secondary structure includes four short double-helical elements and three loops (D, anti-codon, and T loops). Further hydrogen bonds mediate the characteristic L-shaped molecular structure. tRNAs have two regions of fundamental functional importance: the anti-codon, which is responsible for specific mRNA codon recognition, and the 3' end, to which the tRNAs corresponding amino acid is attached (by aminoacyl-tRNA synthetases). tRNAs cope with the degeneracy of the genetic code in two manners: having more than one tRNA (with a specific anti-codon) for a particular amino acid; and 'wobble' base-pairing, i.e. permitting non-standard base-pairing at the 3rd anti-codon position. The record is from RNAcentral.